UUUGAUCCUGAACAGCCUGGCAGUG
RNAcentral lists this non-coding RNA (25 nucleotides) under Mus musculus (house mouse). The record is from RNAcentral. Lineage: Eukaryota; Metazoa; Chordata; Mammalia; Rodentia; Muridae.